UAUAUAUGUGAAGGAAUGACGGAGAGAGGAAGCUGCAGCCAGCGGCUGGAAGAGCUGGUGCAAGCGAGAUAUCGGGAUGGCAGGCAAAUCCACCAUCCGAAACGAGAAGGCGUGAAGCGUACGGAAAGCUACGGCGAGUACGGAAGGCAGUGGAGGAACUUCCAAGAAAAGUUUCUAACGUUAAGUAUAUAUGGCCCGUACCGAAAAUGGACACACAUGGGUGAGGAGAGAAUCCUAAGGUGAGCGAGAGAACUAUAGCUAAGGAACUCUGCAAAAUGACUCCGUAACUUAGGGAGAAGGAGUGCUCAUAGAGAUAUGAGCCGCAGUGAAACGGCCCAAGCGACUGUUUACCAAAAACACAGCUCUCUGCUAAGCCGCAAGGCGAAGUAUAGGGGGUGACGCCUGCCCGGUGCUGGAAGGUUAAGGGGAGGGGUUAACGCAAGUGAAGCCCUGAACUGAAGCCCCAGUAAACGGCGGCCGUAACUAUAACGGUCCUAAGGUAGCGAAAUUCCUUGUCAGGUAAGUUCUGACCCGCACGAAAGGCGUAACGAUUUGGGCGCUGUCUCAGCUGUAGACUCGGUGAAGUCUUAGUACCUGUGAAGAUGCAGGUUACCCGCGACUAGACGGAAAGACCCCAUGGAGCUUCACUGCAGGUUGAUAUUGGGAUUUGAUGCAGCAUGUACAGGAUAGGUAGGAGGCAAAGAGAUGGAUACGCCAGUAUUCAAGGAGCCGCUGUUGGGAUACUACCCCUGUUGUAUUGGAUUUCUAACCGGACGACGUAGAGCCGUUGACGGGACAGUGUCAGUCGGGCAGUUUGACUGGGGCGGUCGCCUCCCAAAGAGUAACGGAGGCGCCCAAAGAUACCCUCAGCUUGGAUGGAAACCAAGCGCAGAGUGCAAAGGCAAAAGGGUGUUUGACUGCGAGACCCACAAGUCGAGCAGGGACGAAAGUCGGGCUUAGUGAUCCGGCGGUGCUGAAUGGAAAGGCCGUCGCUCAACGGAUAAAAGCUACCCUGGGGAUAACAGGCUGAUCUCCCCCAA
This 1040-nucleotide ribosomal RNA is filed under the name human gut metagenome. RNAcentral's name for it is "bacterial LSU rRNA". It matches the Rfam family "Bacterial large subunit ribosomal RNA", at positions 1448 to 2495 of the family's 2925-position model. The record is from RNAcentral.